CUCACGGUCUCCGGAGCACGGAUCUGACCACUGGACAUUUGAAUCAAGAUCUCCAAGCCAGACUCAACCAAGAUGAUCUACUUCACCCAGGUCCUUCAAGAAAAGUAAACAGCAUUCACUGUGAGAGUGGCAUUCAAGAAGUAAAGACAGACUGAACUACAGCUGAAUAGAAAUCUUCAAGAAAGAGAUGGAGAGGAACAUUAUCACCAACUAUCCAUGACACAAACCUGAGAGACUACUAUGAUGCCUACUUUCACUUCUCCAUCCAUUACAGUAACCACACUCCCCUUAUCUUCGAUGAUUAACUACCAUCACUUGGCUCAUGUCACCUGGGGAUCCCAUUAUCUCCAUUGCCUUUAGGGAUCCCUGCUCAACAGCAGCAGUUUCCGCUGGAAUUUCUGACCUACAGAAAAGAGUAACUGAAGAACUCUUCGAGGAUACUGGGUCUCCCCUCAUAAAUUUAUUUCGCACAGUUUUAGUGAAAGAUGUGAUAUCCUGGAGCAGCAGAUCACCUUUGGGUCCAUGUUUCAGCAAACCAACUAAACAACCUUUGGAGCCCUUUCUCACCUCUUGAGCUGAAUCAUUGGAUCCAGGAUCUCUGUUUACUGAGCCCAUAUCAAUAAAAUAAGCCUGA
Molecule: long non-coding RNA, 634 nt
Filed under: Equus caballus (horse)
Lineage: Eukaryota; Metazoa; Chordata; Mammalia; Perissodactyla; Equidae
Description: lncRNA (ENSECAG00000044241.1)
Source: RNAcentral